Pezoporus flaviventris is the source of this 2340-nucleotide long non-coding RNA. RefSeq lists it as uncharacterized. The record is from RefSeq and is a predicted model, not a curated record. The transcript is spliced from 2 exons. NCBI's taxonomy places the organism in Eukaryota, Metazoa, Chordata, Aves, Psittaciformes, Psittacidae.
UAUGACAGGGAGGCAGAAGAGCCACCAUGUAAGAUUUCUAUGUUUAGAACAAUGAAUUUCAGACCAGAAACCAUUAUUCAGCUUGAGCCAUUUUUCUACUUAGGAGCAUCAGGGCUAUAUUUAACCCAGCCAGCUCGGGCAAAUGCUGCAGGAAGGGUGCAUGUCACAUUAGCUAGGAAAUAGAGACAAAUGCUCAGUUCUAUGUCACCAACCGCUUGUUGCUUAUACACUGCACAAGAUUUACAUAACUCCCAACAGGGCUGUGCCAAAAGACUCCUGUUCGCUCAACCAGCAAACACUACAAUCUAGAGUUUAGGUUUCACUGGGGUGUCAUCCUCUAUUACAGCAAGACAAGGCAAAAGGCAUUCUAAGAGCUACCAAAGACAGCAAUACAGCUCUUUCUCUUCCUAAUCCACUACUACAUAAAGGUAUUUUCAGACACACCACGACGUCUCGUGAGCUAUGAUUCUGAAAUCAGUAGCAAUGACAUUUUAUUGACAUGACAGGGAAAAAAAAAUUGAAGGUUCCAAGGGGAAGAUUUCCACUGUAAGUCUUUGUAAGGCAGCCUGCACUGUUUGCUCGGCUGCAAGUACACUUCAAAAGGUAGUGGGCUAUUUGUGCACACAGGCCCCGUGCCAACCCUCUUCCCCUCCCUGUGUCAUAUUUCAUUGCUUGCUUCGCCAUUGGGAAACAGCUCCAGUCCUCUGCAGCAUCUAGUUAAAAACUAACUAAAGAGGAACACAUGCUGAAAACCAGAUUUGCUACCCUUUUGUGAUCAGAUAUUCACAAACCCACCUUCCUGUUCCCACCACUUUGGACCAACAUGAGGUGGGUUUUCUUUGGGGAGAGCCUUUUUUAUGUUCGGAUGUAUCUUGGCCUUCCCACUAAAGAAUUAAAAAGAAGCUUCCAGAAACUAAAGAGAAAUUGAAAGCAGCAAGUCAGGAUGACAAAGCAAAUAUGACUUAAGUUCAUGUUUUUUGACACAGCCAACCCUAAGAGACAGCCACUGAGAGGCUGUACAGCACCACACUGCCACAAUUAGCAAAGCCAGCAACAGAUCACUGCGAGCUUUGUUUCCUCUCUUUGCAAGAGACAGUGCUCCCACCCCUCCCCUUAUCCCAACAUCCCCAAGUAUCAGCCUGAUAGUACUUUGCUUGAGAAAAAUGAGUGCCAUUUGCAAAGGCAAACUAUUUGCAACCUGUUUAUUUGCAGGGAUGGCGGUACAUCUCUUGCUAACACAGCCCUUCAGGUGUCAGCCCUCCUUACCUUUCCUAAAUUAAGCCAUUUUUCCACUUUCAGAGCCGUCCUGGACUGCAGCACUCUGCAGCUCUGCCAUACAGACAGAGCAGGUCUGACAGGAUUUAAGCUCAAACUCCUGAGAAAUGCCUGCAAUCAGAAAUCACUGAGCCUACUCAAAACCAACACAGUGCUCAACUCCAGUCCCAAGAGCAAGAGUCUGGAAAGAGAGAGGGGAGAAGGCAGCAAAUAAAGGUUAUAGCUCCAUUUUAUCAACCAGGUCCAGUCUAACUGUGGGUAUCCCACUCCUCGCUCUCCAAGGGCAUCCCAUGAUGCAUCCGUGUCAAGUGCUUUUCCAAAAAGACUACCCCAAAGACAGAGAAAAUGUUCUCUUUCAGUUCCUUUUCAGAUCAAUUCCUUCGCUCUGCUGCUUUGUUUCAAGCCUCAGGAGCUAAAUUCAAAAUAGUGAAGUUAAAACCUCUGCUAAUAGCUCUGGAGACGUCCCUUAACAACUCUUAAGCGUUUGCAAAGAGCCAUUCUUUCCCUUCCCAGCGUUUUUCCAAGCAGCCUUUUCUUAUGUUAAACCAAUAUAUUUAGAUAGUAAUUACUCGGGAUUAACUGGGUCACCACGAAGUAUUAAAAUAUAGAAGAAAAUCUUCCAAACCAGUUGACAAACCAGAGCCUCUUUAUACAACCCAACUGUUGUGCAAACAAAAAGCAAUAUACAAGUAAUUGGAAAUAUUUUUUUAUCCAUGGAAUCAGAUUCCUUUUUAGAAGGAACCCAAGCACUGAGACUUACUCACCCCGGCCUGAUGCAAAGCUAGGCAGAUGCACAAUCCCUAAUCCUUCUGUUACCAAUAAAACAUGUGAUUCUUUCAACAUACAGAAGUUUAACAUCUUGGAUGGAAAGCAAUACAUACAUAUGAGACAAGGGACAUCAGAGUCCUGCCAAACAGAUACUCUCAAAAUACGUAGAGGGAAAGGGAGCUGGAAGGGCUGUAACCUCCCCACUGGCUGCUCCACUGCCCCUCUGGUGUUCCUUACACAAGGAACCGUAUUUGGGGUUUGUUUUCAAUACAGCAGCUCAAAGGUCUGAACUCCAGA